GGAUGCGGAGGUGUUGGUAGGGACGGAACUCGGGGCGCGGGCGGUGGCCCGAGUGGAGAUAGGAGUUGAAGGUGCAGAGGGCCACGCUGGGCAGCGCCAGCACGAAGGUCAGCAGACGCCAGGUCUUCUCCCCUGGGUGCGGAAGGACGCGCUGGGAGAGGGAGGUCUUCUCAUUGACACUGUCACCGCAGCUGCAGCAGCAGAAGGGACACACUCUCCUGUGUGAAUUCGCUGGUGGCCGAUCAGCUUCCACCGGUCCCCAAAAACCUGCUGGUACUGGGGACAGACGCAGGGCUUCGGCCAGUGUGUGCUCCUUGGUGAGCCAGCAGCAGAGCUGGCCGCUAAACCCUUGCCGCACUCCCGCAGACGAAUGGCUUCUCCCGAGUGGACUCGCUGGUGCUUGAUGAGGUUGGAGCGGCCACAGCAGGUCUUGCCGCACUGGGGACAGCGACAAGGUCUCUCGCCAGUCGCUGUGGACCCGCCAGUGCUGGAGGAGGGAUGCGCUCUGAGUAAAACCCCUCCCGCAGGCCUUGCACUUGCAGGGCUGACGGCCCUGGGUGAAUCUGCCGGUGCUGCAGCAGCGGAUACUUGGCUCUUAUCUCAGGACCUGACCUCCCACUGAGCUCCAAGCCUGCAAAGCAUGCUGCCACCCAGUUAUUUCCCCCUUAACAUCCUGCCAUCACUUCAAAUUUAAUACCCCUAUGCCAAAAAAUCACUGACUCCUAAUUUCACUUUUGUUGGUGGCACCAGUUUUAUUCUCUUGGACACCUAAGCUCAAAAACAGUGGAACUUCUUUUGACUCAUCGCUCUCCUUCCUUCCCUAGAAGUGAGCUACCAUUUAAAAGUGAUGUGCUCAUUCUCAGCAAACUAUCCCAAGGACAAAAAAAUAAACACCGCAUGUUCCCACUCAUAGGUGGGAAUUGAAC
RNAcentral lists this long non-coding RNA (926 nucleotides) under Homo sapiens (human). Its description in RNAcentral is "HSALNT0229899". The record is from RNAcentral. Lineage: Eukaryota; Metazoa; Chordata; Mammalia; Primates; Hominidae.